Molecule: ribosomal RNA, 484 nt
Filed under: uncultured bacterium
Lineage: Bacteria
Description: partial 16S ribosomal RNA
Rfam family: Bacterial small subunit ribosomal RNA
Source: RNAcentral
AUUGAACGCUGGCGGCAGGCCUAACACAUGCAAGUCGAGCGGAUGAAGGGAGCUUGCUCCUGGAUUCAGCGGCGGACGGGUGAGUAAUGCCUAGGAAUCUGCCUGGUAGUGGGGGAUAACGUCCGGAAACGGGCGCUAAUACCGCAUACGUCCUGAGGGAGAAAGUGGGGGAUCUUCGGACCUCACGCUAUCAGAUGAGCCUAGGUCGGAUUAGCUAGUUGGUGCGGUAAAGGCCUACCAAGGCGACGAUCCGUAACUGGUCUGAGAGGAUGAUCAGUCACACUGGAACUGAGACACGGUCCAGACUCCUACGGGAGGCAGCAGUGGGGAAUAUUGGACAAUGGGCGAAAGCCUGAUCCAGCCAUGCCGCGUGUGUGAAGAAGGUCUUCGGAUUGUAAAGCACUUUAAGUUGGGAGGAAGGGCAGUAAGUUAAUACCUUGCUGUUUUGACGUUACCAACAGAAUAAGCACCGGCUAACUUCGUG